AGGAUCGGAUGGCCGCGGUGUGGGGCAACCUGCAUCGAGGAAAGUCCGGACUCCAUCAAGGCAUGAUGCUGGGUAACGCCCAGGCGGGGUAACCCGACGGACAGCGCCACAGAGAACAGACCGCCUAGUUUACUAGGUAAGGGUGAAACGGUGGAGUAAGAGCCCACCGCGGCGAUGGCAACAUCGCUGGCAAGGCAAGCCCCAUCAGGAGCAAUGCCAAAUAGGGGCCGCGUGUGGGUAACCACAGGAUCGUCUUGAUCCGAGCAGGUCCGGGUUGGCAGCUAGAGGGUGUUUGGUAACAAGCGCCUUAGAUGAAUGGCCAUCAAACCGCUUCGGCGGGGAACAAAAUCCGGCUUAUAGAU
RNAcentral lists this RNase P RNA (362 nucleotides) under Octadecabacter ascidiaceicola. RNAcentral describes it as "RNaseP_bact_b". It matches the Rfam family "Bacterial RNase P class A". Rfam says of the family: Ribonuclease P (RNase P) is a ubiquitous endoribonuclease, found in archaea, bacteria and eukarya as well as chloroplasts and mitochondria. Its best characterised activity is the generation of mature 5'-ends of tRNAs by cleaving the 5'-leader elements of precursor-tRNAs. Cellular RNase Ps are ribonucleoproteins. Lineage: Bacteria; Pseudomonadati; Pseudomonadota; Alphaproteobacteria; Rhodobacterales; Roseobacteraceae. The record is from RNAcentral.